GUUAACUAAGUAUUGUUUGAUAGGGCAAGGAAUUGAUUUCCUCUUAGCACUUGGUUUUACACCUACUUGUUGUGCAUUUUUGUUAUUUAUUAAAAAGUAAAAUUCAUCUUGUGCAUUUUUGAUGAUUUUGAUUUUGAACAACAGAUUGGUACCUGGUGUGAGGAAUUACAUCGAUGCCAAAAAACAGAAGAUAUUACCUGGUUGAGAAGGCAAAAGAACUCUUGGUGUAAGGUGUAGGUGAUAUGCUUCUGCCAAGGCAAUAGCGUGGAUGGAUUUUAUUAAGCAAGAGCUUCUUUAUUGGGUUUUGUUAUAUGUAUGGCCAAGGGCUUUAUUUGUAAUGAGCUGUGCUCACUUUUGUGUAAUCAAGCAAUGACUUGGGAAGAUGUAAGCCUACAUGGCAUUUAACUGUAUGAAAGACUUUUAUAAACAAACUCUGAUGAAUGAAAGUAUUUUAUUUCUGUUA
This is a non-coding RNA of Camellia sinensis, 463 nucleotides long. The record is from RefSeq and is a predicted model, not a curated record. NCBI's taxonomy places the organism in Eukaryota, Viridiplantae, Streptophyta, Magnoliopsida, Ericales, Theaceae.